AUUCCCGUUCCAGCUUGAAUUGCCAUUGUUCGCGCGUCCACGGCGGGACGCUGCGCGGCGACGCGAGGCUUUUUUUCAACUGGCUCAGAACCUCAUCCCGGCUUAAAUUUUUAAUAAUAUGUUUAUUUGCCCAACCGAAACGUAUGGUGGCGGGGUUAUUGAUAAGCGUCAGCGUGCGGUAAGCGUUCAGCGUAAUUAAGCCGGGUAGAUG
Molecule: small RNA, 211 nt
Filed under: Salmonella enterica subsp. enterica serovar Typhi
Lineage: Bacteria; Pseudomonadati; Pseudomonadota; Gammaproteobacteria; Enterobacterales; Enterobacteriaceae
Description: StyR-248
Source: RNAcentral